GUCUACUGCCAUGCUACCGUGAACAAGCCCGAUCCCGUCUGAUCUUGGAAACUAAGCAGGGUCGGGCUUGGUUAGUACUUGGAUGGGAGACCGCCUAGGAAGACCAGGUGCUGUAGGCG
RNAcentral lists this ribosomal RNA (119 nucleotides) under Pteropus alecto (black flying fox). The record is from RNAcentral. Lineage: Eukaryota; Metazoa; Chordata; Mammalia; Chiroptera; Pteropodidae.